Molecule: ribosomal RNA, 432 nt
Filed under: uncultured bacterium
Lineage: Bacteria
Description: partial 16S ribosomal RNA
Rfam family: Bacterial small subunit ribosomal RNA
Source: RNAcentral
AACGAACGCUGGCGGCAUGCCUAACACAUGCAAGUCGAACGAGACCUUCGGGUCUAGUGGCGCACGGGUGCGUAACGCGUGGGAACCUGCCCUUAGGUUCGGAAUAACUCCCCGAAAGGGGUGCUAAUACCGGAUAAUGUCUUCGGACCAAAGAUUUAUCGCCUUUGGAUGGCCCGCGUUUGAUUAGCUAGUUGGUAGGGUAAAAGCCUACCAAGGCGACGAUCCAUAGCUGGUCUGAGAGGAUGAUCAGCCACACUGGGACUGAGACACGGCCCAGACUCCUACGGGAGGCAGCAGUGGAGAAUAUUGGACAAUGGGCGAAAGCCUGAUCCAGCAAUGCCGCGUGAGUGAUGAAGGCCUUAGGGUUGUAAAGCUCUUUUACCCGGGAUGAUAAUGACAGUACCGGGAGAAUAAGCUCCGGCUAACUCCGUG